GAAAUGCGAUAAGUAAUGUGAAUUGCAGAAUUCCGUGAAUCAUCGAAUCUUUGAACGCACAUUGCGCCCUCUGGUAUUCCGGGGGGCAUGCCUGUCCGAGCGUCAUUGCAAACCCUCAAGCUCGGCUUGUGUGAUGGGUCCCGCGUCUUGGUCGUCAAGACGGGCCCGAAAUGCAGUGGCGGCUUCGCGGUUAUCCGAUCAGCCAGAGCGUAUGGGGACUCUCUCUCUUGUCACACGCCCGCGGCGCGGACCGACGCCUGUCGACCUUUAUUCAUCUUCUCUCGGUUGACCUCGGAUCAGGUAGGGUUACCCGCUGAACUUAAGC
This 325-nucleotide unclassified non-coding RNA is filed under the name plant metagenome. RNAcentral describes it as "partial contains 5.8S ribosomal RNA, internal transcribed spacer 2, and large subunit ribosomal RNA". The stretch from base 1 to 105 matches the Rfam family "5.8S ribosomal RNA", at positions 50 to 154 of the family's 154-position model. The record is from RNAcentral.